UUUAUUAUCCAAGCUGUUCUCCUUUCGCAAGACAUAAUUCAAUAGAAUAUAGUAAAUCCUCUGGGAAGAGAAGUCCAUCAGAGAUUAAAUCCGGUAAUUCUAUAAAGACACGAUCGAGAUUCUGUUGAACAUCAGACGCAUUAAACGCGGUCUUCAAUUUUCAUUUAUCAUUGUCCGCGAAAAGACGAAACAAUCUGGCGUUAUUAACAGCAGGAACUGACAGUAUAUAAAGAAUCUUACUCAUACAUCCAUUGACGAAUCCAUCCAUUAUCACAUCCUGUACUCUUGAACGUACGUGAUUAAUUUUUUAAAAUAUAACGACAGUUAUCACGCUUAUCUGUGAAACAUACGCAUGCAUGUGUUUUAUUCUUUUACACUAAUCCAAGAGUUAUAUGAGCGACUAUCAAUCGUACAUGUCGCUUUAGUGAAAUCAGUGCAAUGUGAAGAGCUAAAAACUGAUGAACAAGAUCAAAAAAUAUUCUAGAGAUAUCCUUGAAGCUUUAUUACUACCUACAUAGACAAAGCCACGACUGAAAAAUAUUUACAGGUUAAUAACGCGAUCGAAGCAUGACUCAUAUAACGAUAAGCUUCGCAGUAAUCAGUUUCCAGCGAAUUUCGGUAAUGUCAAAAAUGACUCAUACACUCAUUUCCGUUGUCUGCCUAUUGCUCAAUAGGCUUAAUUUACACGAAAAAAAAAGAAAGUGAAAUCCCGUCAUGAAAACCUACAAUACGUAAACGAGAGAGAAGAGGAACCUAUGAUUUGCAUCGGCGAUAAAAUAAAAAAACUGCAGACACGCAAUCUGUAUGCACUGAGGCAAGACAGAACGUUCAACCCACACCGCGCAAAUGUCCCUGAGACGUCUGCAAGAUGUCUAUAUGACCACAGGUUGCCCGUAAGAGAUUCUUAAGAUGUAUCUACAUCCUGCGUGGAAUACUCAUCGUUGUCAUCGUUCUCUAUGAAUCAUCUUGAAACGUAUCAGACAACUAGAUAUCGCAUGGGAUUUUCUUUAACAGUAUGUAAAGGAUGACGUAUCGCAUACAUCGGAAAUGGCGUGACAACGAUUGACGGUCAAUAUCGAAACUUUUAACUCCGCGCGUGUAUCUGCAGCGUACAGCAGAUAUUUAUCUGGUACAUAACGCAGCACCAUCAGCAUUUUAUUACAUCAAACACGGACAAACGUGAAAUAAUCGGAAACGUGCAUCACUCGAUAUCCACAUGUAGCAGCAUGUCCACUUCCUUUGGACCUAGAGACAAUAACUUCAAUAAGGUUUAAUACAAAAAUUGGACUGGUAUUCUGGAGUCAGUGCUGUUUAUUUUCUGAUAAAUGAUAAAGCUUCCAUGCGAUGAAAUUAUGCGUGUUACAAGAGGUUUUAUAUAAGGGUAUUUGAUAAAGGAGGAAUUUUGUUAUUGAAUCAACGUCACUCCUUGAUAUUAUUCAAUCAGAAAAGGAUUAAUCCGUAAAUAACGAUCCAGUUAUCCAUUUUGUAGCGAGUAAUUAAUUACACCCUUAUACAUUGUUAAAUUUAUAUUACCCAUCGCGCACGCACAUAGUAAACGCUGCAUAGUACGAGGCUGGAAUUCUCUUUCUUUCGCAUAAUUUGCGAAAUUCCAUCAAGGAACUUUCUUGUCGAUCAAAAGACGAUCAAUGAGAUAAAGCGACUAUCUGGCGUAUCAUGUUAAACAAUAAAAUUCAAUAUUGUCCUGUGAAAGCUUUCCCUUUUAUGCAGGUUCAUUCAACUAUUUCCAAACGACAAUGAAAUUUAGUCCCAAAAAAAGUUGUCUAUCCACAGUCCUUCGCUUAACGAGCUCGUGCUAUUUGCUGUAAUAAAGUGCAAAAUAUUUUUACCAUCGUCACUGACAAUAACUUUUAUACCAAAAGUAUAUAAAAAUGGAAUGACGAUCUCUCCUUUCGCAGUAUUAUUAAUAAAUGCGAUUAUCGAUUAUAGUAUACAAGAACUCAUAAUCCUGCCAGGUCUUUCUACGUGGGUAAUGAAUAUUUUAGAAAUCAAGUCUGGAAUUUUCUUUCGUCGUUCACCGUCUGCCCUUACGAGAGACGUGCUUAUAUUCGUACGUUUCUUUUUUUCGUUUUACGAAAGACCUGCUUUCCUUCCAGAUGGAAAAUAAAGCAAAAUAAUAAUCGUACGUUUUUUUUUCCUUUUGUUUUUCAUAAGCGAGUCGUACCUUGUAAUCAUAUCAACUAUGCGACACACACACUAUUCUUCAUAGUCAAGGGCGGUCCAGUUUAUUUCCAUUGAAACGUCAACCAGCUGUUUGAUUAUUAUUAUCGCCCAAACCAAUUGUACGAAAAGCAGUUCGAUGUGCGAUUUUGAUAUAUUUUUUAACUUUAUAUGGAUACCAGACAGCUUUGCUUAGUGCUAAUGUACUGUAAAAAGUCGAAAAUGGCCUGUCGAAGCAUCACGUGUGUAAACAAACAAAUAUAUUGUACUAGAAUAUACCAAAAGUCAUUAGAAGUAAAAAACGUCUUAUGAAAUAGUAAUUUAUCAUGUGAACACAUAUGAUACGUAUUCAGUAGGCAUGUAAAAGGGAUCAAACAAGUACUUAGGAAUUGGAAACGUAUUCAUAAUUCAAUGGGUUAGCAUAUAGAUAUAGUACUCUGACCUACUUUGAUGUGUUGUUGUCAUAAUGCAGAAACCAAGCCGUUUACGUAAUUGUACGAAAAAGUAAACUAUAGCACAAGCACCUAUGUAUGUUCUGCGUAUAGUAAAGAUUCUACUAAGAAAUUCUCUAUAGGAUAGUGGUAUAUUCUUAUAAAGGGCAGAUCAAAGAGUAGGAGUCAGUCAGACAGACGAUAAUUCGAAUUGAUUAGAUUCUCAAGUCGAUCAAAGGAACGAGCCAAGUUGUGAUACUUAUAUCGUGGAGAAUCAAUUUCACGUCACGCAAGCCAUCGAAUGCCACUGUCAAUUUAUUAUGUUUUAUUGUAAGUCAUUGUUGAGGCAUUGUAUAGAGAAAUGGCGUAAAUCAUCAUUAAGAUACAAGUUUUUCGUGUUUACCUAAACAUUGUUUUUUUUUUUUCAAUACAAAAAUCGUAUAUAGUAAAUAAGACGCUACGUGCGAUUCAAUUAAUUAAAUAAAUUGUGUUUUAUGACA
Long non-coding RNA from Cephus cinctus (wheat stem sawfly), 3109 nucleotides. RefSeq lists it as uncharacterized. Lineage: Eukaryota; Metazoa; Arthropoda; Insecta; Hymenoptera; Cephidae. The transcript is spliced from 3 exons. The record is from RefSeq and is a predicted model, not a curated record.